AUUGAACGCUGGCGGCAGGCCUAACACAUGCAAGUCGAACGGUAACAGGAAGCAGCUUGCUGCUUUGCUGACGAGUGGCGGACGGGUGAGUAAUGUCUGGGAAACUGCCUGAUGGAGGGGGAUAACUACUGGAAACGGUAGCUAAUACCGCAUAACGUCGCAAGACCAAAGAGGGGGACCUUCGGGCCUCUUGCCACCGGAUGUGCCCAGAUGGGAUUAGCUAGUAGGUGGGGUAAAGGCUCACCUAGGCGACGAUCCCUAGCUGGUCUGAGAGGAUGACCAGCCACACUGGAACUGAGACACGGUCCAGACUCCUACGGGAGGCAGCAGUGGGGAAUAUUGCACAAUGGGCGCAAGCCUGAUGCAGCCAUGCCGCGUGUAUGAAGAAGGCCUUCGGGUUGUAAAGUACUUUCAGCGGGGAGGAAGGGAGUAAAGUUAAUACCUUUGCUCAUUGACGUUACCCGCAGAAGAAGCACCGGCUAACUCCGUG
This 490-nucleotide ribosomal RNA is filed under the name uncultured bacterium. RNAcentral's name for it is "partial 16S ribosomal RNA". It matches the Rfam family "Bacterial small subunit ribosomal RNA", at positions 30 to 507 of the family's 1533-position model. The record is from RNAcentral.